RNAcentral lists this ribosomal RNA (512 nucleotides) under uncultured bacterium. Its description in RNAcentral is "partial 16S ribosomal RNA". It matches the Rfam family "Bacterial small subunit ribosomal RNA", at positions 28 to 523 of the family's 1533-position model. The record is from RNAcentral.
GACGAACGCUGGCGGCAUGCCUAAUACAUGCAAGUCGAGCGAACAGAUGAAGUGCUUGCACCUCUGACGUUAGCGGCGAACGGGUGAGUAACACGUAAGGAAUCUACCUAUAAGCGGGGGAUAACAUUCGGAAACGGGUGCUAAUACCGCAUAAUAUCCUCUUCCGCAUGGAAGGAGAUUGAAAGACGGCUCUGCUGUCACUUAUAGAUGACCUUGCGGUGCAUUAGUUAGUUGGUGGGGUAACGGCCUACCAAGACGAUGAUGCAUAGCCGACCUGAGAGGGUGAUCGGCACAUUGGGACUGAGACACGGCCCAAACUCCUACGGGAGGCAGCAGUAGGGAAUCUUCCGCAAUGGGCGAAAGCCUGACGGAGCAAUGCCGCGUGAGUGAAGAAGGCCUUCGGGUCGUAAAACUCUGUUAUAAGAGAAGAACAAAUUGUAGAGUAACUGCUACAGUCUUGACGGUAUCUUAUCAGAAAGCCACGGCUAACUACGUGCCAGCCGCCGCAGUAA